This is a non-coding RNA of Echinops telfairi (small Madagascar hedgehog), 681 nucleotides long. The record is from the annotation of a RefSeq genome assembly. Lineage: Eukaryota; Metazoa; Chordata; Mammalia; Afrosoricida; Tenrecidae.
AUGAAUUGUGUGUGGGUUUUCCUCUUUGUGGUGGCAACUCCGGGAGGUGUCCUGGCCCAGGUGCAGCUACAAGAGUCAGGUCCAGGACUGGUGAAGCCCUCACAGACCGUAUCUCUCACCUGUGCUGUCUCUGGAUUCUCUUUAACCAGCUAUGGUGUGAACUGGAUCCGACAGGCUCCAGAAAAGGGACUGGAGUGGAUUGGGGUAAUAGCUUAUGAUGGGAAAACAUACUAUAAUCCAGCUCUGAAGUCCCGAGUCAGCAUCACCAGGGACACCUCCAAGAGCCAAGUUUCUUUAAAACUGAGCUCUGUGAAUCCUGAGGACACAGCCGUGUAUUACUGUGCUAGGGACACAGUGAUGGGAAGUGUCCAGUGUGAGGUGAAGCUGGUGGAGACUGGGGGAGAUGUGAGAAAGCCUGCGGGGUCCCUGAGACUCUCCUGUGCAGCCUCUGAAUUCACCUUCAGUGACUACUGGAUGAGCUGGGUCCGCCAGGCUCCAGGGAAGGGCCUGCAGUGGUUGGCAACCAUAAAGUAUGAUAGCGGUAGUAUUUACUACACAGAGUCCGUAAAGGGCCGAUUCACCAUCUCCAGAGACAACUCCAAGAACACAGUCUAUCUUCAAAUGGACAGCCUGAAAGCAGAGGACACGGCCAUGUAUUACUGUGCAAGAGUCUCACAGUGA